RNAcentral lists this ribosomal RNA (253 nucleotides) under uncultured bacterium. RNAcentral's name for it is "partial 16S ribosomal RNA". It matches the Rfam family "Bacterial small subunit ribosomal RNA", at positions 524 to 776 of the family's 1533-position model. The record is from RNAcentral.
UACAGAGGUCCCAAGCGUUGUUCGGAUUCACUGGGCGUAAAGGGUGCGUAGGCGGUCGGGUAAGUCUGGCGUGAAAUCUCCAAGCCUAACUUGGAAACUGCGUUGGAUACUAUCCGGCUUGAGAGUUGGAGGGGGGACUGGAAUUCUUGGUGUAGCAGUGAAAUGCGUAGAUAUCAAGAGGAACACCAGUGGCGAAGGCGAGUCCCUGGACAACUUCUGACGCUGAGGCACGAAAGCUAGGGGAGCAAACAGG